CAAGCACAGACCAGGGAGACCUCUCUACUUUGCAGUUAUCUGAAGUGUCAGCAGAAUUUUCUAGAUUUGGAUAGCACUGGCAUUUUGGAACAGUCACGUGAUGGGAACUCCUUCCUCCUUUCCACACGACUCUCUGGCCUCCUUCCUGUCUCAGAUUCUCUCCUGGGUCCUGUGACACAGAUGCACCAGGCACCAUCCCGGCCCCGAGGAGCUCCAGGCUCACAGAAAAUUUCACACUUAUUGAAUUUAUACAUUUCUAACCCGGGACAUUGGAAGCAACGCUGGAAGGAGAAAUCGUAUCCCAGAGUGACAGCGGAGGUUUCCCUGGGAUGUGUUUUGUGCUGUUUGAGCACAGGCAGCAGGAGGUGAUUUUUUUCCCCCAGCAUCAGGAACUCCUCUGCGCAGAAAAGCUGAGGGACACCGAGCAAGCCUCUCACGGGGACACUUGGGUGUUUAGUGAACAGCAACUAAAACUGGCUGCGUUGGUGCAAAGUGUGUGCCGAUCACACGUUUAAGGACUCAGAGGACAUCAAGGCACGAGAUCACUCGAGCGAGCAGGCGACUGAGAUGACACCGGCUGAUGGGGGGGGGGGGGGUGAACAGCACAGUGGGAGGCCUCCUGCUUUUUCUGCCUUGGUGGGGGGAGGCGAGGUUAUUAAUGAUGGGAUGGAUUAGAGCAGAUGGGUAUUUUUGACACAUUUCCCCAUGUUGUUAUUUUCCAAUAUCCCAUCUUCCCACCACCUAGUCAUGUGCCUUUCUCUUGGUUAAGAGUGAAAGCAUGUGACUUUUUAAAGGGAAACCUCAGGAAGGGAGAGUAGAAAUGAAGACGUGACCGUAUUGCUCAGAAGGCACACUCCGCAGAUCUGGAAAGUCCUCCCAAAGCCUCUGCUGGGAGGCGACAGGGAGAAGCGACCGCGGGCACGUGUGACUUUGGACACUGUGUUCUAAGGCAAGCCCUGCGACCCAUCCCACUGGCUCAGUCCCAACCUCGGAGCAUCCACCACUCGCUUCCUGAUUACCUUUCUGCAGCCCAGAGAUUUGCAUUGUAAAUGCUGUUUGUUAGGCCCCUGAAAUAAUAUUAAUCACUGUAAAACAAUUAUGUUGCAUAAUUUGUACAUAAAAAAGAAAGAAUGAACCUUUGGC
This 1143-nucleotide long non-coding RNA is filed under the name Canis lupus familiaris (dog). RNAcentral describes it as "lncRNA (ENSCAFG00000058681.1)". The record is from RNAcentral. Lineage: Eukaryota; Metazoa; Chordata; Mammalia; Carnivora; Canidae.